CUCCCGUUCUCUCCCCCAUCUCUCCUCCUUUUCCCCCCAAAUUUGCUCUCUUCCUCACGCAUCCUCCAUAGCCGUUCCUCAGCUCACCCAUUUCCCGCUCUCAUCUUUCUUCCCGUCCAUAGCUGGCUGUCUCACGCAUCCUCCAUAGCCGACUUCCUCAGCUCACCCAUUUCCCUUUUCCCGUUUUUCUCCACUGAUUCUCCACAGCUGGGUGAAGACCACGGUCGGCUUCAACCGGGCCAACCUCUUCGAGGGCGACGUCGCAGACCUUAUCAAAGACGUCUCCACAGCUAGGUGGAGACCACCUUCGCCGUCAACCAGGAUCAAAGACGUCUUCACAGGUGGGUGGAGACCACCAUCGUCGUGAACCGGGCCAACCUCCUCCAAGCCGACGUCUUGACCUCAUCAAAGAAGUCUCCCUCAAGGACCGCGAGCUCAGGAUUGUGGGCGAGGUCGGUGCCAAGAUCCGAGUCUUAGACUUCAUUUCUCCCGAUGUCCAGGUUCUAAAUUUAAUGGUUUAAAAACCCGAAUUGAAGACGUAGCUGGAAGAAGAAGAAGAGGGCGUGUAGUACUAAGGAAAAGAAAGCUGAGAAGGACACAAUUGUUUGUUACUCAAACGGCGCUUGUAUCCUAAUUAUUUGGCGAGUUCUAUAUAAAGGGAAAAAAAUGAGCGAACGCGAUGGUCUUGAAGUUGUUCAAAAUCCAAAGAGGCCUAUCGGCGCUUGGAUACAUUACUAGUAAGGGAAAAUAGAAAUAUGUAAAAUAAUAUGUUUUUUAAUGUAUUUUUUGUGGUUGUUAUUGUUAAAUUUG
Molecule: long non-coding RNA, 810 nt
Organism: Vitis riparia (riverbank grape)
Lineage: Eukaryota; Viridiplantae; Streptophyta; Magnoliopsida; Vitales; Vitaceae
Exons: 3
Source: RefSeq, a predicted model, not a curated record